This 577-nucleotide ribosomal RNA is filed under the name Saccharomyces cerevisiae (brewer's yeast). RNAcentral's name for it is "eukaryotic LSU rRNA". It matches the Rfam family "Eukaryotic large subunit ribosomal RNA", at positions 69 to 662 of the family's 3401-position model. The record is from RNAcentral. Lineage: Eukaryota; Fungi; Ascomycota; Saccharomycetes; Saccharomycetales; Saccharomycetaceae.
GGGGCAUGGCCUUAGUACGGCGAGUGAGCGGCAAAAGCUCAAAUUUGAAAUCUGGUACCUUCGGUGCCCGAGUUGUAAUUUGGAGAGGGCAACUUUGGGGCCGUUCCUUGUCUAUGUUCCUUGGAACAGGACGUCAUAGAGGGUGAGAAUCCCGUGUGGCGAGGAGUGCGGUUCUUUGUAAAGUGCCUUCGAAGAGUCGAGUUGUUUGGGAAUGCAGCUCUAAGUGGGUGGUAAAUUCCAUCUAAAGCUAAAUAUUGGCGAGAGACCGAUAGCGAACAAGUACAGUGAUGGAAAGAUGAAAAGAACUUUGAAAAGAGAGUGAAAAAGUACGUGAAAUUGUUGAAAGGGAAGGGCAUUUGAUCAGACAUGGUGUUUUGUGCCCUCUGCUCCUUGUGGGUAGGGGAAUCUCGCAUUUCACUGGGCCAGCAUCAGUUUUGGUGGCAGGAUAAAUCCAUAGGAAUGUAGCUUGCCUCGGUAAGUAUUAUAGCCUGUGGGAAUACUGCCAGCUGGGACUGAGGACUGCGACGUAAGUCAAGGAUGCUGGCAUAAUGGUUAUAUGCCGCCCGUCUUGAAACCC